GAUGAACGCUGGCGGCGCGCCUAACACAUGCAAGUCGAACGAGCGAGAGAGAGCUUGCUUUCUCGAGCGAGUGGCGAACGGGUGAGUAACGCGUGAGGAACCUGCCUCAAAGAGGGGGACAACAGUUGGAAACGACUGCUAAUACCGCAUAAGCCCACGGCUCGGCAUCGAGCAGAGGGAAAAGGAGCAAUCCGCUUUGAGAUGGCCUCGCGUCCGAUUAGCUAGUUGGUGAGGUAAUGGCCCACCAAGGCGACGAUCGGUAGCCGGACUGAGAGGUUGAACGGCCACAUUGGGACUGAGACACGGCCCAGACUCCUACGGGAGGCAGCAGUGGGGAAUAUUGCACAAUGGGGGAAACCCUGAUGCAGCGACGCCGCGUGGAGGAAGAAGGUCUUCGGAUUGUAAACUCCUGUUGUUGAGGAAGAUAAUGACGGUACUCAACAAGGAAGUGACGGCUAACUACGUGCCAGCAGCCGCGGUAAAACGUAGGUCACAAGCGUUGUCCGGAAUUACUGGGUGUAAAGGGAGCGCAGGCGGGAAGACAAGUUGGAAGUGAAAUCCAUGGGCUCAACCCAUGAACUGCUUUCAAAACUGUUUUUCUUGAGUAGUGCAGAGGUAGGCGGAAUUCCCGGUGUAGCGGUGGAAUGCGUAGAUAUCGGGAGGAACACCAGUGGCGAAGGCGGCCUACUGGGCACCAACUGACGCUGAGGCUCGAAAGUGUGGGUAGCAAACAGGAUUAGAUACCCUGGUAGUCCACACUGUAAACGAUGAUUACUAGGUGUUGGAGGAUUGACCCCUUCAGUGCCGCAGUUAACACAAUAAGUAAUCCACCUGGGGAGUACGACCGCAAGGUUGAAACUCAAAGGAAUUGACGGGGGCCCGCACAAGCAGUGGAGUAUGUGGUUUAAUUCGACGCAACGCGAAGAACCUUACCAAGUCUUGACAUCCUGCGACGGUGCUGGAAACAGUACUUUCCUUCGGGACGCAGAGACAGGUGGUGCAUGGUUGUCGUCAGCUCGUGUCGUGAGAUGUUGGGUUAAGUCCCGCAACGAGCGCAACCCUUAUGGUCAGUUACUACGCAAGAGGACUCUGGCCAGACUGCCGUUGACAAAACGGAGGAAGGUGGGGAUGACGUCAAAUCAUCAUGCCCUUUAUGACUUGGGCUACACACGUACUACAAUGGCGUUAAACAAAGAGAAGCAAGACCGCGAGGUGGAGCAAAACUCAGAAACAACGUCCCAGUUCGGACUGCAGGCUGCAACUCGCCUGCACGAAGUCGGAAUUGCUAGUAAUCGCAGAUCAGCAUGCUGCGGUGAAUACGUUCCCGGGCCUUGUACACACCGCCC
RNAcentral lists this ribosomal RNA (1346 nucleotides) under uncultured bacterium. RNAcentral describes it as "16S ribosomal RNA". It matches the Rfam family "Bacterial small subunit ribosomal RNA", at positions 28 to 1395 of the family's 1533-position model. The record is from RNAcentral.